GGAUCGGUCGUCUAGCCUGGUUUGGAUGACGCACUCACACUGCGUAAGGGCGCCAAGCCCCGCAAGGGUCGUGGGUCCGAAUCCCACCCGAUCCA
This 95-nucleotide transfer RNA is filed under the name Nitrosopumilaceae archaeon. Its description in RNAcentral is "Pseudo tRNA". It matches the Rfam family "tRNA". From Rfam's summary of the family: Transfer RNA (tRNA) molecules are approximately 80 nucleotides in length. Their secondary structure includes four short double-helical elements and three loops (D, anti-codon, and T loops). The record is from RNAcentral. Lineage: Archaea; Thermoproteati; Nitrososphaerota; Nitrososphaeria; Nitrosopumilales; Nitrosopumilaceae.